This 61-nucleotide transfer RNA is filed under the name Prosthogonimus cuneatus. RNAcentral's name for it is "tRNA-Gly". Lineage: Eukaryota; Metazoa; Platyhelminthes; Trematoda; Plagiorchiida; Prosthogonimidae. The record is from RNAcentral.
ACGUUAGGAGUAUGAUUAAGUAUGUUGUCUUUCCAAGUCAAAGGUCCUCUUGGCUAGCGUA